This 393-nucleotide ribosomal RNA is filed under the name uncultured bacterium. Its description in RNAcentral is "partial 16S ribosomal RNA". It matches the Rfam family "Bacterial small subunit ribosomal RNA", at positions 523 to 918 of the family's 1533-position model. The record is from RNAcentral.
AUACGGAGGAUGCAAGCGUUAUCCGGAUUUAUUGGGUUUAAAGGGUGCGUAGGCGGUUUGCUAAGCGGGAGGUGAAAUGCCGGCGCUCAACGUCGGAAGUGCCUCCCGAACUGGUGGACUUGAAUGACUCUGCCGUGGGAGGAAUGUGUAGUGUAGCGGUGAAAUGCUUAGAGAUUACACAGAACACCGAUUGCGAAGGCAUCUCACGAAGGGUUGAUUGACGCUGAGGCACGAAAGCGUGGGGAUCAAACAGGAUUAGAUACCCUGGUAGUCCACGCUGUAAACGAUGAUGACUAACUGUCGGCGAUAUACAGUCGGUAGCCAAGCGAAAGCGAUAAGUCAUCCACCUGGGGAGUACGACCGCAAGGUUGAAACUCAAAUGAAUUGACGGGG